RNAcentral lists this long non-coding RNA (285 nucleotides) under Pan troglodytes (chimpanzee). RNAcentral's name for it is "long non-coding RNA NONPTRT011186". The record is from RNAcentral. Lineage: Eukaryota; Metazoa; Chordata; Mammalia; Primates; Hominidae.
AGCCAUUUUUUAUUCAUCUACUUUUUUAAUAAACUUGUGUGCAAUAUGAUAUAUUGAUCUCGUCGAGUUGUUUCUCUUGUGUUGUGGUUUUCAUAGUAGGAAUCUCAGUUUUAACCAGGGUCCUGUAAUUUCAUUUUGCACUGGGCUCUGCAAAUUAUGCAGCCGGCUGGCCAAGAGAGAACUGUGGGAAGACCUGUGCUGAGGAGGGAGAAAUAGCAGUGUAGCAGGAUGAGUCGCAGACAAAACACCUCAGACACCAGAUUAAAGAAGGAAGAGGUUUUUAUU